RNAcentral lists this ribosomal RNA (464 nucleotides) under uncultured bacterium. Its description in RNAcentral is "partial 16S ribosomal RNA". It matches the Rfam family "Bacterial small subunit ribosomal RNA", at positions 339 to 795 of the family's 1533-position model. The record is from RNAcentral.
CUACGGGCGGCUGCAGUGGGGAAUAUUGCACAAUGGGCGCAAGCCUGAUGCAGCCAUGCCGCGUGUAUGAAGAAGGCCUUCGGGUUGUAAAGUACUUUCAGCGGGGAGGAAGGGAGUAAAGUUAAUACCUUUGCUCAUUGACGUUACCCGCAGAAGAAGCACCGGCUAACUCCGUGCCAGCAGCCGCGGUAAUACGGAGGGUGCAAGCGUUGAUCGGAAUUACUGGGCGUAAAGCGCACGCAGGCGGUUUGUUAAGUCAGAUGUGAAAUCCCCGGGCUCAACCUGGGAACUGCAUCUGAUACUGGCAAGCUUGAGUCUCGUAGAGGGGGGUAGAAUUCCAGGUGUAGCGGUGAAAUGCGUAGAGAUCUGGAGGAAUACCGGUGGCGAAGGCGGCCCCCUGGACGAAGACUGACGCUCAGGUGCGAAAGCGUGGGGAGCAAACAGGAUUAGAUACCCUCGUAGUC